RNAcentral lists this ribosomal RNA (468 nucleotides) under uncultured bacterium. RNAcentral's name for it is "partial 16S ribosomal RNA". It matches the Rfam family "Bacterial small subunit ribosomal RNA", at positions 28 to 507 of the family's 1533-position model. The record is from RNAcentral.
GACGAACGCUGGCGGCGUGCUUAACACAUGCAAGUCGAACGGAAAGGCCCUGCUUUUGUGGGGUGCUCGAGUGGCGAACGGGUGAGUAACACGUGAGUAACCUGCCCUUGACUUUGGGAUAACUUCAGGAAACUGGGGCUAAUACCGGAUAGGAGCUCCUGCUGCAUGGUGGGGGUUGGAAAGUUUCGGCGGUUGGGGAUGGACUCGCGGCUUAUCAGCUUGUUGGUGGGGUAGUGGCUUACCAAGGCUUUGACGGGUAGCCGGCCUGAGAGGGUGACCGGCCACAUUGGGACUGAGAUACGGCCCAGACUCCUACGGGAGGCAGCAGUGGGGAAUAUUGCACAAUGGGCGGAAGUCUGAUGCAGCAACGCCGCGUGCGGGAUGACAGCCUUCGGGUUGUAAACCGCUUUCGCCUGUGACGAAGCGUGAGUGACGGUAAUGGGUAAAGAAGCACCGGCUAACUACGUG